GUCCAUGGUCUAUGCCACCCUGAACAAGCCCGAUGUCUGAUCUCCAUAGCUAAGCAGGGUCGGGCCUGGUUCGUACUUGGAUGGGAGACCACCUAGGAAGAUCAGGUGCUGUAGGCA
This 117-nucleotide ribosomal RNA is filed under the name Pteropus alecto (black flying fox). The record is from RNAcentral. Lineage: Eukaryota; Metazoa; Chordata; Mammalia; Chiroptera; Pteropodidae.